Molecule: ribosomal RNA, 436 nt
Filed under: uncultured bacterium
Lineage: Bacteria
Description: bacterial SSU rRNA
Rfam family: Bacterial small subunit ribosomal RNA
Source: RNAcentral
AGAGUUUGAUCCUGGCUCAGAUUGAACGCUGGCGGAAUGCUUUACACAUGCAAGUCGAGCGGCAGCGCGGGGCAACCUGGCGGCGAGCGGCGAACGGGUGAGUAAUGCAUCGGAACAUGUCCAUUCGUGGGGGAUAGCCCGGCGAAAGCCGGAUUAAUACCGCAUAAGCCCUUAGGGGGAAAGCCGGGGACCGCAAGGCCUGGCGCGAAUGGGUUGGCCGAUGCCCGAUUAGCUAGUUGGUGAGGUAAAGGCUUACCAAGGCGAUGAUCGGUAGCUGGUCUGAGAGGAUGAUCAGCCACACUGGGACUGAGACACGGCCCAGACUCCUACGGGAGGCAGCAGUGGGGAAUUUUGGACAAUGGGGGCAACCCUGAUCCAGCCAUUCCGCGUGAGUGAAGAAGGCCUUCGGGUUGUAAAGCUCUUUUGUCCGGAGCGA